This 501-nucleotide ribosomal RNA is filed under the name uncultured bacterium. Its description in RNAcentral is "partial 16S ribosomal RNA". It matches the Rfam family "Bacterial small subunit ribosomal RNA", at positions 30 to 523 of the family's 1533-position model. The record is from RNAcentral.
AUUGAACGCUGGCGGCAGGCUUAACACAUGCAAGUCGAGCGGGGGAAGGUAGCUUGCUACCGGACCUAGCGGCGGACGGGUGAGUAAUGCUUAGGAAUCUGCCUAUUAGUGGGGGACAACAUCUCGAAAGGGAUGCUAAUACCGCAUACGUCCUACGGGAGAAAGCAGGGGAUCUUCGGACCUUGCGCUAAUAGAUGAGCCUAAGUCGGAUUAGCUAGUUGGUGGGGUAAAGGCCUACCAAGGCUACGAUCUGUAGCGGGUCUGAGAGGAUGGUCGGCGACACUGGGACUGAGACACGGCACAGACUCCUACGGGAGGCAGCAGUGGGGAAUAUUGGACAAUGGGGGGAACCGUGAUCCAGCCAUGCCGCGUGUGUGAAGAAGGCCUUAUGGUUGUAAAGCACUUUAAGCGAGGAGGAGGCUACUCUAGUUAAUACCUGGAGAUAGUGGACGUUACUCGCAGAAUAAGCACCGGCUAACUCUGUGCCAGCCGCCGCCUUAA